GCGUGCUUAACACAUGCAAGUCGAACGAUGAUGCCCAGCUUGCUGGGUGGAUUAGUGGCGAACGGGUGAGUAACACGUGAGUAACCUGCCCCUGACUCUGGGAUAAGCGUUGGAAACGACGUCUAAUACUGGAUAUGAUCACUGGCCGCAUGGUCUGGUGGUGGAAAGAUUUUUUGGUUGGGGAUGGACUCGCGGCCUAUCAGCUUGUUGGUGAGGUAAUGGCUCACCAAGGCGACGACGGGUAGCCGGCCUGAGAGGGUGACCGGCCACACUGGGACUGAGACACGGCCCAGACUCCUACGGGAGGCAGCAGUGGGGAAUAUUGCACAAUGGGCGAAAGCCUGAUGCAGCAACGCCGCGUGAGGGAUGACGGCCUUCGGGUUGUAAACCUCUUUUAGUAGGGAAGAAGCGAGAGUGACGGUACCUGCAGAAAAAGCACCGGCUAACUACGUGCCAGCAGCCGCGGUAAUACGUAGGGUGCAAGCGUUGUCCGGAAUUAUUGGGCGUAAAGAGCUCGUAGGCGGUUUGUCGCGUCUGCUGUGAAAUCCCGAGGCUCAACCUCGGGCUUGCAGUGGGUACGGGCAGACUAGAGUGCGGUAGGGGAGAUUGGAAUUCCUGGUGUAGCGGUGGAAUGCGCAGAUAUCAGGAGGAACACCGAUGGCGAAGG
RNAcentral lists this ribosomal RNA (667 nucleotides) under Curtobacterium sp. RNAcentral describes it as "bacterial SSU rRNA". It matches the Rfam family "Bacterial small subunit ribosomal RNA", at positions 42 to 721 of the family's 1533-position model. The record is from RNAcentral. Lineage: Bacteria; Bacillati; Actinomycetota; Actinomycetes; Micrococcales; Microbacteriaceae.